UAACAAAUAGCUUACACUUCAAAAAGCACUGCACUGAAGAUGCUGCGACAGGCGAGAGCCUUUUGUUUA
RNAcentral lists this transfer RNA (69 nucleotides) under Leucophytia bidentata (two-toothed white snail). RNAcentral's name for it is "Auriculinella bidentata (two-toothed white snail) tRNA-Phe". Lineage: Eukaryota; Metazoa; Mollusca; Gastropoda; Ellobiida; Ellobiidae. The record is from RNAcentral.